CAGUCGCCACGGUAAAACGUAGGUGGCAAGCGUUGUCCGGAAUUAUUGGGCGUAAAGGGCUCGCAGGCGGUUUCUUAAGUCUGAUGUGAAAACCCCCGGCUCAACCGGGGAGGGUCAUUGGAAACUGGGAAACUUGAGUGCAGAAGAGGAGAGUGGAAUUCCACGUGUAGCGGUGAAAUGCGUUGAGAUGUGGAGGAACACCAGUGGCGAAGGCGACUCUCUGGUCUGUAACUGACGCUGAGGAGCGAAAGCGUGGGGAGCGAACAGGAUUAGAUACCCCCGUAGUCCCUGUCUCUUAUAA
This 301-nucleotide ribosomal RNA is filed under the name uncultured bacterium. RNAcentral's name for it is "partial 16S ribosomal RNA". It matches the Rfam family "Bacterial small subunit ribosomal RNA", at positions 509 to 809 of the family's 1533-position model. The record is from RNAcentral.